RNAcentral lists this ribosomal RNA (231 nucleotides) under Pseudarthrobacter phenanthrenivorans. RNAcentral's name for it is "partial 16S ribosomal RNA". It matches the Rfam family "Bacterial small subunit ribosomal RNA", at positions 565 to 795 of the family's 1533-position model. Lineage: Bacteria; Bacillati; Actinomycetota; Actinomycetes; Micrococcales; Micrococcaceae. The record is from RNAcentral.
GAGCUCGUAGGCGGUUUGUCGCGUCUGCCGUGAAAGUCCGGGGCUCAACUCCGGAUCUGCGGUGGGUACGGGCAGACUAGAGUGAUGUAGGGGAGACUGGAAUUCCUGGUGUAGCGGUGAAAUGCGCAGAUAUCAGGAGGAACACCGAUGGCGAAGGCAGGUCUCUGGGCAUUAACUGACGCUGAGGAGCGAAAGCAUGGGGAGCGAACAGGAUUAGAAACCCUNGUAGUC